CAGCGGCCGCGGUAAUACGGAGGGUGCAAGCGUUAAUCGGAAUUACUGGGCGUAAAGCGCACGCAGGCGGUCUGACAAGUCAGAUGUGAAAUCCCCGGGCUUAACCUGGGAACUGCAUUUGAAACUGUCAGGCUGGAGUCUUGUAGAGGGGGGUAGAAUUCCAGGUGUAGCGGUGAAAUGCGUAGAGAUCUGGAGGAAUACCGGUGGCGAAGGCGGCCCCCUGGACAAAGACUGACGCUCAGGUGCGAAAGCGUGGGGAGCAAACAGGAUUAGAGAACCCCUGUAGUCCCUGUCUCUUAUA
This 301-nucleotide ribosomal RNA is filed under the name uncultured bacterium. RNAcentral's name for it is "partial 16S ribosomal RNA". It matches the Rfam family "Bacterial small subunit ribosomal RNA", at positions 509 to 808 of the family's 1533-position model. The record is from RNAcentral.